GCAGCCGAGCAGGGGAAGAACUGGGCCGCCUGUAGAGGGCGGGCCGAAUAGUCACCAACCCUCUACUUGGUCCUUUGCAAUCCUUUCCAGACCUUCUGUGGUCUCCUGUCACACAGGGCUCACCUGGGGGGACCCUGAUGGCCAGAUUCUCUUGAACAGUCUCUAGGGACAUAUUGGGUAUUGCUAUACCUUCAUCCAUUGAACAGUUUUCCAGUGGCUCCAUAAUAUGUGAUAUCACAACAGAUUGAAUGCAGAAACAAUCUUUAUACUCCUGUAUUUUCCUUUGUGGAGUAUAUUGGGUUGGAGGCUAGAAGGCAUGAUGAGAAUGAAAGAACAAAUGAAGCAUCCAUUAACUUCGAAUGAUCAGAUGCUAGGGUGUGAGGAAUUUUCAGGCCAAAAUGCACUGGGUUAUUGUCUCCUAUUGACAGUGUGAUAUUACAGAUAACCUCUAGGAGAUCCUGAACAUAUUCAGGCUAAACCAGGCAAACAAACAUUCAGGAUGUUACCAGUGUGGAAAACCCCUAGGAGAGACAGCCAAAAUUAAGACUGAUGGAGAAAUUUCCCCCAGCAAUACCACUUAAAAAUAUGUAUUUUUUACUUUGGAUAGAAGUUCUGAUUGGUGAAUGAAUAAGUGACUGGAUAAAGAGAAAGGGAGAAGAGGAAGAAGCAAUGAAGCGAAUCCAGGGGAAGGCAAACAGAGCAAGCUCAUGAACACAUAGGCGCUGAUAGCCUGGAAAGCUCUGCUUCUGGACUCCUUCUACUGGACUCAGCUUCACAAAAGCUUGCCCGACACUCUGAGACCCUGAAUGGAUCCUUCUGUGGCUGAUUCAACUCAAAUCUGAGGCUCUGGAUUCCCAGCUCUCU
RNAcentral lists this long non-coding RNA (864 nucleotides) under Homo sapiens (human). RNAcentral describes it as "long non-coding RNA NONHSAT156786.1". Lineage: Eukaryota; Metazoa; Chordata; Mammalia; Primates; Hominidae. The record is from RNAcentral.